GGCUCGUUGGUCUAGGGGAAUGAUUCUUCCUUCGGGUGCAAGACGUCCCGGGUUCAAAUCCCGGACGAGCUC
RNAcentral lists this transfer RNA (72 nucleotides) under Danionella translucida. It matches the Rfam family "tRNA". From Rfam's summary of the family: Transfer RNA (tRNA) molecules are approximately 80 nucleotides in length. Their secondary structure includes four short double-helical elements and three loops (D, anti-codon, and T loops). Further hydrogen bonds mediate the characteristic L-shaped molecular structure. tRNAs have two regions of fundamental functional importance: the anti-codon, which is responsible for specific mRNA codon recognition, and the 3' end, to which the tRNAs corresponding amino acid is attached (by aminoacyl-tRNA synthetases). tRNAs cope with the degeneracy of the genetic code in two manners: having more than one tRNA (with a specific anti-codon) for a particular amino acid; and 'wobble' base-pairing, i.e. permitting non-standard base-pairing at the 3rd anti-codon position. Lineage: Eukaryota; Metazoa; Chordata; Actinopteri; Cypriniformes; Danionidae. The record is from Rfam by way of RNAcentral. RNAcentral also lists the same sequence under 1 other name.